UUUAAGUCUUACAGCCACUGCCUUGUCAUUUCUAGUGGAAAAAUCUUUAGGAAUCCUGGAUCACUUUUUGAGACACUCGAAAAGAAGGCCUUGGAGGCACCAAUGUUUACUCUGCUUUUGCUGACUCUAAGCUAAGAAGAGGACGAGGGCCAUAAAACAAUGGAAGGAUUGGGCAAAGAUCAGGAAACAACCUGGAGAAUAAAGACCCUGGACAGAUUUUCAAGCUAGUGUAAAAAUGUUCAGCACCUCACAAAUACCUUUCACAACAGUGGAAAAUGAACCUGAGUGCUUCUUGCCCACUACAGAUGAAAGCAAUCAGGGAUCAAUUAAUAAAUGGUACUUUUCCACAGCCGUAAGACUGUGAUUGCAAAAGGGAUCGAAACAUAGAUCGACUUGGGAAAGACCACCUUGCUAGCUUGACAGGGUCACAAAACCACCAAGGAAGUCAUUUAUUAUUGUUAUUCAUUAAAGAAAGGUUAUGGUCAUCUUUCUAAUUACUUUUCUCACUUAGGACUGCUAACUUUUUCACAGAUUGCUUGUCCCUUGUACUGACCUCUGUAUAAAAUCGAUUCAUAUUUGCAUUUUUUUGUGCUCAUUAUGGUGAAACAUAACACAGACUGAAAAUAAACGUAUCUUUGUAAGAGCA
This 646-nucleotide long non-coding RNA is filed under the name Cyanistes caeruleus (blue tit). RNAcentral describes it as "lncRNA (ENSCCEG00000020148.1)". Lineage: Eukaryota; Metazoa; Chordata; Aves; Passeriformes; Paridae. The record is from RNAcentral.